RNAcentral lists this unclassified non-coding RNA (194 nucleotides) under uncultured Scheffersomyces. RNAcentral's name for it is "sequence contains ITS2". Lineage: Eukaryota; Fungi; Ascomycota; Pichiomycetes; Serinales; Debaryomycetaceae. The record is from RNAcentral.
CUCUCUCAAGCCCUCGGGUUUGGUAUUGAGUGAUACUCUUAGUCAGACUAGGCGUUUGCUUGAAAAGUAUCGGCAUGAGUAGUACUAGAUAGUGCUUUCAGGAUAUUUCAAUGUAUUAGGUUUAUCCAACUCGUUGAGAAUUCUUGGUAGUGAAUUUUUAGUAUCAUGGCUCUGCCUUACAAAACAACAAACAA